UUGAACGCUGGCGGCAGGCCUAACACAUGCAAGUCGCGCGGAUGAAGGGAGCUUGCUCCUGGAUUCAGCGGCGGACGGGUGAGUAAUGCCUAGGAAUCUGCCUGGUCGUGGGGGAUAACGUCCGGAAACGGGCGCUAAUACCGCAUACGUCCUGAGGGAGAAAGUGGGGGAUCUUCGGACCUCACGCUAUCAGAUGAGCCUAGGUCGGAUUAGCUAGUUGGUGGGGUAAAGGCCUACCAAGGCGACGACUCGUAACUGGUCUGAGAGGAUGAUCAGUCACACUGGAACUGAGACACGGUCCGGACUCCUACGGGAGGCAGCAGUGGGGAAUAUUGGACCAUGGGCGAAAGCCUGAUCCAGCCAUGCCGCGUUUGUGAAGAAGAUCUUCGGAUUGUAAAGCACUUUAAGUUGGGAGGAAGGGCAGUAAGUUAAUACCUUGCUGUUUUGACGUUACCAACAGAGUAAGCACCGGCUAACUUCGUG
RNAcentral lists this ribosomal RNA (483 nucleotides) under uncultured bacterium. RNAcentral's name for it is "partial 16S ribosomal RNA". It matches the Rfam family "Bacterial small subunit ribosomal RNA", at positions 30 to 507 of the family's 1533-position model. The record is from RNAcentral.